UUCCUUUCAAAAGCACUUUAUGGGUCUCUAUUCUGUGGCCUGGGAAGUCGUCCAGAAAGGGCAGAAUACAACAACCAUCACUUUUGGGUGAGGUGACAGUUGAAUGUGCUGUUGGUCUCAAUCAGUGGUGUGACAAGU
Small nucleolar RNA from Dromiciops gliroides (monito del monte), 138 nucleotides. Lineage: Eukaryota; Metazoa; Chordata; Mammalia; Microbiotheria; Microbiotheriidae. The record is from RefSeq and is a predicted model, not a curated record.